This is a long non-coding RNA of Scylla paramamosain (green mud crab), 2062 nucleotides long. RefSeq lists it as uncharacterized. NCBI's taxonomy places the organism in Eukaryota, Metazoa, Arthropoda, Malacostraca, Decapoda, Portunidae. The transcript is spliced from 2 exons. The record is from RefSeq and is a predicted model, not a curated record.
UUGCCUGAGGGAGGAUGGAAGGCCUGUCAUAUGCUGGACCUUUUAUUUAUAGCAUUCAACCUUGGAUCAUUGACGUAACAAACAUUAGACAUUAGAUACAGAAUAAAGAAACAUUAUUAUAUUACCACCACAAUCUAAUCCAAAUAAAUCAGCAUUACAGUAUGUACUGAACAACAUUACACAAAUUACUAUUAUCAUCACAACCUAACCCCAAUAAAUCAGUACUAUGGUAUGCACUGAGAAACAUUAUGCAAAUCAACAUUACAGAUACAACCUAACUCCAAUAAAACCAUAUCACAAUGUGUACUGAACCUUACCAAUGAUUUAAUACAUACUCGUUAACGUAGUCAAAGGAUACUGACCACGUACGAUAGCACUCUACAUCUUCAUACCAGUUUUUGAGUUAUGUGCUCAAUUAACUGAACGUAAACAUUCAUCUACAUGGCCACUGAGCCCCAGACACUUCAUAGGUUAAUCUGGAUAUCGCGUCCGUGUUACGUACAAGCAUGAAACUCACGUCAUGGAGAAGGGUUCGGUGACCUUGCCGUAAAUGUAAAAAAAAAUUGGGAGGGCACAUGUCUAGUAUGGCUGUAAUAGCACUCGCGAGUAUGGAGAAAUUUGAUAUUUCCUAAGUCCAGCGAGCUCUGCACCAGUCACGAGUAAACACUGAAUUUUUUUUUUUUUUUUUUUUUUUUUUUUUUUUUUUUUAUAACUGCGAUUUGUGGGUAGCGGCAUAUUAGAAUUUCAUGGUAUCUACACAGCUGAUCCUUCCAAUCAUGUGCUGCCAUUUGUAAGGCUAUUCCUGAGGCCGCCAAUUACGACUUUCCGCCGUAGGUUCAGUUACACUUUUCAUUUGUUUUAGAGAUGCGUCAGGCGUUCUGAUAGAGGCUCACUGUUAUUUGUUAAUAUGGCUACCCAGUAGAGGGAGGUGAAACGAACAGUGCCAGUGUUCAGCAGGAAAAGAAGUCAUUAUAUGAGAUAUUUAGCAACAACUAUGGUUAAAAUGCGAUAUACAGACAUGCGAUAUACAUGGAAGAGGUUCCAUGUGUUUACUAAGGAAGCCACCAAACUGUACCCCACCUCCAUCGCCCUGAGAAUCUCCACACCAUACCAGUAAGGCAUAACAGUAUAAUUUUUUUAUGUCCCUCGUUAGGUUAGGUUAUGUUAAGUUAGGUUAUGCUAGGUUAGGUUAGAUUAGGUUAGGUUAUGCUAGGUCAGGUUACAUUAGGUUAUGUUAUGCUAGGUUAGGUUAACGUCCUAGUGGGGGGGGGGGGUCCACGGGGGUCGCAGACCCACCGGUUAAAUUAAAUUCAAGCAAGUUAAGUUAGGUUCAAGCAGGAGGGGUUUAGGGACUAGGAUAGGUUAGGGAAAUUCGAAAUAUUAAAGUAAAUUUCCUUAGAUUUUUUAACACCCUCAUUUCACUUAUUUUUCAUCUUCCCCAAAACCCCCGACUUCCCACAGGCCCCCAAGUUUGUUUGAAGGAUUAGGGGUGGAAUGGGGGGGACAGACUUCUUAUCAAGAAAUACCACUUCAUAAUAUAAGCAUGCAUAAAGGCAUGUAGAGGAACUCCUUGUCAUCAAGAUAAUGAGUCCUUAAAUGCACUGUUAUAAUCAAACCAGCAAAUAAAUGUAUCGGCCUAUGCCUUCGGCCAAGUAACAACAAACAUCACAAAAAAUCCACAGCUAGUCACGGGCUACCUCCUCUGGGGUGCGUUUGAUAGCGCAACUCGGGGCGCCCGGAAUGUUAUGUGUCGUCUCAAACGCGCACUUACUGGGCUCCCAGGGCGGCCGACUCAGAACGUCCCGGGCCUGGAUCCAAAAAACUUAACAACAGGCUAGCAACAAGCGAGUGUCACUAAUUGUCGCUAAAUGGUAUCCACAAACGCAUCGAGUGUUGGUAAGAUGUCGCUAUCUACGAUCUUUUCGUGUCGCUAAUACCUCCCGAGGUGUAGUAAAGGCAUUGUUAUCUCUUAUAUAAAUGUCCAUAUGCACAAAAUGAAAUAAAUAAAUAAAUAAGUAAAUAAGUAAAAAAAAUGCAAAAAAAAAAAAAAAAGAAAAGAAAA